RNAcentral lists this non-coding RNA (44 nucleotides) under Schistosoma margrebowiei. The record is from RNAcentral. Lineage: Eukaryota; Metazoa; Platyhelminthes; Trematoda; Strigeidida; Schistosomatidae.
ACCCACUGACGGAUCCCAAAUAGGACGAAACGCGCGUCCUGGAU